RNAcentral lists this ribosomal RNA (380 nucleotides) under uncultured Sphingomonas sp. Its description in RNAcentral is "bacterial SSU rRNA". It matches the Rfam family "Bacterial small subunit ribosomal RNA", at positions 524 to 902 of the family's 1533-position model. Lineage: Bacteria; Pseudomonadati; Pseudomonadota; Alphaproteobacteria; Sphingomonadales; Sphingomonadaceae. The record is from RNAcentral.
UACGGAGGGAGCUAGCGUUGUUCGGAAUUACUGGGCGUAAAGCGCACGUAGGCGGCUUUGUAAGUCAGGGGUGAAAGCCUGGAGCUCAACUCCAGAACUGCCUUUGAGACUGCAUCGCUUGAAUCCGGGAGAGGUGAGUGGAAUUCCGAGUGUAGAGGUGAAAUUCGUAGAUAUUCGGAAGAACACCAGUGGCGAAGGCGGCUCACUGGACCGGUAUUGACGCUGAGGCGCGAAAGCGUGGGAAGCAAACAGGAUUAGAUACCCUGGUAGUCCACGCCGUAAACGAUGAGUGCUAAGUGUUGGGGGGUUUCCGCCCCUCAGUGCUGCAGCUAACGCAUUAAGCACUCCGCCUGGGGAGUACGGCCGCAAGGCUGAAACUC